CCUACGGGCGGCAGCAGUGGGGAAUAUUGCACAAUGGGCGCAAGCCUGAUGCAGCCAUGCCGCGUGUGUGAAGAAGGCCUUCGGGUUGUAAAGCACUUUCAGCGGGGAGGAAGGCGUUAAGGUUAAUAACCUUGGCGAUUGACGUUACCCGCAGAAGAAGCACCGGCUAACUCCGUGCCAGCAGCCGCGGUAAUACGGAGGGUGCAAGCGUUAAUCGGAAUUACUGGGCGUAAAGCGCACGCAGGCGGUCUGUCAAGUCGGAGGUGAAAUCCCCGGGCUCAACCUGGGAACUGCAUUCGAAACUGGCAGGCUAGAGUCUUGUAGAGGGGGGUAGAAUUCCAGGUGUAGCGGUGAAAUGCGUAGAGAUCUGGAGGAAUACCGGUGGCGAAGGCGGCCCCCUGGACAAAGACUGACGCUCAGGUGCGAAAGCGUGGGGAGCAAACAGGAUUAGAUACCCCGGUAGUC
This 465-nucleotide ribosomal RNA is filed under the name uncultured Klebsiella sp. RNAcentral's name for it is "bacterial SSU rRNA". It matches the Rfam family "Bacterial small subunit ribosomal RNA", at positions 338 to 795 of the family's 1533-position model. Lineage: Bacteria; Pseudomonadati; Pseudomonadota; Gammaproteobacteria; Enterobacterales; Enterobacteriaceae. The record is from RNAcentral.